This 429-nucleotide ribosomal RNA is filed under the name Pseudomonadota bacterium. RNAcentral's name for it is "Proteobacteria bacterium partial 16S ribosomal RNA". It matches the Rfam family "Bacterial small subunit ribosomal RNA", at positions 355 to 776 of the family's 1533-position model. The record is from RNAcentral. Lineage: Bacteria; Pseudomonadati; Pseudomonadota.
UGGGGAAUAUUGGACAAUGGGCGAAAGCCUGAUCCAGCCAUGCCGCGUGUGUGAAGAAGGUCUUCGGAUUGUAAAGCACUUUAAGUUGGUAGGAAGGGCAGUAAGCGAAUACCUUGCUGUUUUGACGUUACCGACAGAAUAAGCACCGGCUAACUCUGUGCCAGCAGCCGCGGUAAUACAGAGGGUGCAAGCGUUAAUCGGAAUUACUGGGCGUAAAGCGCGCGUAGGUGGUUCGUUAAGUUGAAUGUGAAAGCCCCGGGCUCAACCUGGGAACUGCAUCCAAAACUGGCGAGCUAGAGUAGGGCAGAGGGUGGUGGAAUUUCCUGUGUAGCGGUGAAAUGCGUAGAUAGAGGAAGGAACACCAGUGGCGAAGGCGACCACCUGGGCUCAUACUGACACUGAGGUGCGAAAGCGUGGGGAGCAAACAGG